RNAcentral lists this long non-coding RNA (402 nucleotides) under Papio anubis (olive baboon). Its description in RNAcentral is "lncRNA (ENSPANG00000047429.1)". The record is from RNAcentral. Lineage: Eukaryota; Metazoa; Chordata; Mammalia; Primates; Cercopithecidae.
AAGAGAAUAUCUUCAUGAAAAAACUUCUCAGAAAAGCAUCACAAACUUCAAUUCCUGUCUGGAGCAGAAAAUCUACAUUGAAGACAUGGUCUGAGGAAAGGGAGAAAAGACAUAACUAUUUAUUCUGCAGUCAGUAUUUCCAACAUGCUUUUAGGCUACUUUGACUAUCUGGGGAGACCUAAGGACAGCCAACUUCAUUUCCAAGGACUCUCCCCUCAGAGCUUGGACAACCCACUUUCGACAUUGGUAAAGAAGAACAUUUACAAAUACUACCUUUCUUCUUCAAUUUCCCUCGUCAGAGUAGGCUCAGAUACCAGCAACAAUGAUGGAAUCCGUUUAGGCAAAUACCUAACACUAGAUGGAAUCUCGCUCUGUCACCCAGACUGGAGUGCUGUCACAUGA